This 481-nucleotide ribosomal RNA is filed under the name uncultured bacterium. Its description in RNAcentral is "partial 16S ribosomal RNA". It matches the Rfam family "Bacterial small subunit ribosomal RNA", at positions 28 to 523 of the family's 1533-position model. The record is from RNAcentral.
GACGAACGCUGGCGGCGUGCUUAACACAUGCAAGUCGAGCGGUAAGACUCCUUCGGGAGUACACGAGCGGCGAACGGGUGAGUAACAAGUGAGCAAUCUGACCUUCACUUUGGGAUAACUUCUGGAAACGGAAGCUAGUACCGAAUACGACCACUUCAGGCAUCUGAUGGUGGUGGAAAGUUCCGGCGGUGAAGGAUGGGCUCGCGGCCUAUCAGCUUGUUGGUGAGGUCAUGGCUCACCAAGGCGUCGACGGGUAGCCGGCCUGAGAGGGUGACCGGCCACACUGGGACUGACACACGGCACAGACUCCUACGGGAGGCAGCAGUGGAGAAUAUUGGACAAUGGGCGAAAGCCUGAUCCAGCAACGCCGCGUGAGGGAUGACGGCCUUCGGGUUGUAAACCUCUUUCAGCGGGGACGAAGCGAAAGUGACGGUACCCGCAGAAGAAGCACCGGCCAACUACGUGCCAGCAGCCGCCGUAA